GUCAUCCCCCCCCCGUCAUCUCCGUUCUGCAGCCGAGUUCAUUUCCCCAAAAUCCCGCCUGCCUCAAGUCUCAGGAAUUGUCCUUUGACUCAACAAAGCCUCCUUAACCCCCCCAGACACACACUGCAGAGUCACAUAUCAAAGCACAGAGGUGCACAUCAACAUGUGUACCAAAUGUAUUGCAGAGAGGGAGAGUGUGUGUGUGUGUGUGUGUGUGGGGGGAGGGGGGGGGGGGGUAAAACAAUGCAUUCAUUGUGUGCAGAUGGAGGAUGAGAGAAAGAGAGAGAGAGAAGUGUAGAGUGCAGCUCCAUCUACAGGCCGAGAGAACACACACACACACACACACACACACACACACACACACAGGGUUUCAUCUAAAUCGCAGCCUUUGAACUUCCAGUGCGUAUUAUCUGUUCUGUUGUUGUUAUUGUUGCUGCCAUAAUUGCACUUGGAUUAUUGCAGAUGGGUUUUUGGUAUCCACCUCUGUGGCAAUCGGUUGAGCCAUUUCUGCAUCUGUCGCAACUUCCAAGUCCACGAUUAGAUCUUUCCAGAGGUUACAACAUGAUCACCGCGAGACACUAUGAGAACAAUGCAACAUUCUCUGUUUGGAAUAAGUUCUUUUAUCCUCCUUCAGCUAAGAAGGCUGGUUUAUUUCUACUCGGCUGCUCUCUCGCUUUCCGUCCUGUGCUUUGUCCACCUGAGGAGCGUCUCACAUUGGGCCACGCUGCGGUUUCGGGCGGGGGGGGGGGGGGGGGGGGGCGGCCCGGGCCGUGCACAGCACCACCUGCUGCGCGGACAUCUCCAUUACAAUGACAACCCUCCUCCAAAAAGCAGCCGGGCCGCCCGGGCCAGCACUUCGCCGUGAAAUCAUAUCUCGGUGUCAAGUUCCACAGCGCCAGAGUGAGAGGGGUUAAUCCUUAAUUAGCACGCAUUCCUUAUCUGUAUCUAAAAAAGGUCUGUUUUCCCCUUGAAGCCUCUCGUUCUCCCCGGACCAUUCUCCCUCCGUUUCUUUACCCCCCCCCUCCCCCUCGACAUCGGGGUUUCUCUCCAUCCGUCUCCCCGUCUCUCUUUAAAGACCGAGAUCCAAAUAGGAGUGGAUCACCUCCCUCGCUGGUGUUUCAUUAGAGGCAAUUAGAAAGCCGACUCUGCAGCGUCCCAUAAGGCUCGACGGGGAGAGGCGAGAACGCGGGCCGCAUUAGCUCGUUGAGAUGAAGUAUGGAUGACAACGCUUUCAUCAACGUGCAACAAUUCCUCGCCGCCGUCUCCGCGCCGAGUGUCAGAGGUACCGUUCUGACAAUUAUGACAAUUAACACUGUCAAAAUAAAGCCAUUAGCCGAGCGAGAGGGCAAAGCAAUGCACUUAAUUACAGGGUUUUCUGUCCAAAUGGAUUCCCUUCAGACAACUUCCAGGAUGAGAAAAAUAAAGAAUGAAAUAAGUUGAAUGCAUGAUGGAGGAGGGGUUAAACCAGUCGACAUCUGCCAUCGUAUUAGCGCCCGCCUCGGGUUGAUGAACCUUCCAGCCACACACACACCUAUUGAAUGUGCACACUCGAACAGAGACGCUGAAAAGUGCCCAUAUUGGGCAGAAUAUACGGAAAGAAUAUUUUUCCUUUAUUUUCUCCCAUUUCUUUUCUUUUAAAUAGAUUUUUGUGAGCGUCGGUGCUCUUAACAGCUUCUGUGCAGACCCCCUUUUCUCCCUUAUCUUGGACUCUGAGGCGAAGCAUCUCAAGUGUUCAUUAAUGCCUCAUACAUCUUCUUCAUAAACGAGAUCUGGCAUCUCAAUGGCAUCUGGAAUGAUUAAACUAAAAGGUUUAUAAAUCACAAUUUCUAACAAUGCUGAUCCUGCAUUGCGGUAAUGCUGGCCUCCAGGACACACUUCGCCUCGCACCAGCUUCCUCCAAACGGAACAAAGAGGGAUGCGCGGACGGGUCCGAGCCGCUGCGGAGCCACGGAUCCAGGACGUAGAUGUUGGCUGUGUCAAUAGGGAACAACCACGUAAAGAGUUAUCGGGUUUUGUCGCCUUUGAAAUAUGCAGCAGAGCACAUCUGUCUGCAGACGCUUGGGGGGGAAUCUGCCCGACUUUGACGUGACAAUGUGGAAAUACAAUUACACAAUCUCGAGGGGACGGCCUGUCACAUUAUAUUUACCUUGGGUCAAAGCAAAGAGGGCUAUCUGCACAUGUAUCCAACAUCUCCUGCGAGUGGGUGAGGUUGUUAUUCACACACGAAGAUGUGGUCUUGUUUAUACCUGCUGCACACACGAGUGGUACCAUGAGACGUAAACGCCACAUCAACAACCAGAACUGCAGGCCUCCUGAAGGCUGUGACCCCUGAACGACCUCCGGCGUCCAGUGGUGUUCCGGGUCAAAUCGCAGUGACGGGGUGGGAGGGUCAAAAGGUCACAUCUUUUGGAAACCACCGAGGUUCCGGUUCAGCGAGGAGCGUUCUCUCUGAUCGCUUUGUAAUUAAUUAUCUCAAACAAAGCGAUAAAAAGUGGGGGAAAUAAUCGACUGGAUAUUAAAUGCGUCUGUGAUUAUCUGUAACGGGGGACGUUCCAGCGCCUCGCGGGGGGAGAGGUGGGAAAGUUUGGGCGACAACAACUAUCAACAAGCUCUUAACUAAAUAUAUUUCAUCUGCUGUAACUUCACAAUAACACAAAGUUCAAUGUCACUGCCAAUAAAUACUUACAGAAAGUUAAUCGCAACAACUUCAGACAAAAGCAAAGAGGGAGACGCCUCUCAGUAUGUUAUAAUCAAAGAAAACAUAUAUAUAUAUAAAUAUGAUUGCAUUUCCGUAAUCUGGUUUCCUGAGUUAAUCCACAUCUUGAUGGAAUCAGCAUGUCCGUGAAUCAGACCACUUUGAGUCAGACGCUGCCGCUGCCUCUCCCCUUCUUGCUCUUUAUCAGGACGGGGAAGCCGAUGACUCCCUUCAGAUAAGGACGGGAGCUCUCCGCUUAAAGCUCCCUGCUAAUAAACGAGCAUCUUCUCCGAGCGCUUAUUGUGUUUCACAGGGGCAAAAUGCAAUUGUGUCAUUUUUUUUUUGUGCCGCGCGUCAGAAGGAAGUGGGCCGCGCGCGAUGACUCACUGCGCCGAAAACGCUCUGUUUCCAAUCGAAGAAAAUCGAAUCUGAGCUCUGUUUGCCCCGUUCUUUUCCACGUCUCCAUUUGUUUGUUAAGGCUGUGAGCAGUGACGGUAAAUGGGCGGAUAAGUCGAGGCAAAAGCAGCGACGGUUGGCGGACGGGCCGUCAGCUUAUCAAUAAAUGACAUCAUGUGCCCCCCGGACGUCUCUGUCGAUCACGUUGAUGCCACUGAAAACUGAAAACAAGGCGGAGAAGAGAAAAAAAAAGAAGAAGGGAAGGAGAAAUGUCCAUUUUCCCAUUAGGGCUGUCUGGGCGGAUGACAGAGUCAAGAGACACUGGGGACAUUUGGUCUGUCUGAGGAGACGUCCGAGCAGCGUCCAUAAACACGCCUCCACUUUGCAGAAUAGAACUUCACAGUCGCCGGUCAGAAUAAAGACACAUUAACUGCGUUUGACGGCAUGUCUGAACUUAUUCCAUCUGACUCAAUCAAUGAACUAUUCCUCCACUCUGCAGAACAUUAAUACAUUACACUGUGCCACAUCAAUACAGUCGCGAUGACUCAAAUACAGUAAAUUAGAAAAUAGGAUUAAACUUCAAAUAUCAGGUUAAAUUGUUUUGCUUGAAUGGAAUAAAUUACAUUUAUUUCUUCUCUCUUUGUUCUACUUUUUUUGUUUCUCCAGUCAGUUCUUCUCAGUUAACUUAAAAAAGAUGCAUCCUCUGCUUGUUUAUUUCCCAUGUUCUUAAUUAUGUGCAGACGGGGUCUUGUGCUCUGGCUCGGUACAACCUGCUAUCACGGCUGUUGUUCUACGGCUAAAUAAAACUCCCCGUGACCAAACACUCGGUGGAAAGUCCCGUACUUCACCAACAAAGACGCUCUUGUGUUUGAUUCGAUAUUAAUUGAGCCGCGUCAUCUCUGCGGAAAGUUUGAGGGACGAUUGAUCAUGUGAUUCGGGCAGUAAACCUCCUCAAAUAGUGGUUCUCACAAAAUGUUGCAUGCCACAAAAAACAACAAUGAAUCUCCGCAGAAUAAAAGCGUCGGUUGUGUUUCGUAAGUCCUUCGACUUCACUAGCUGCGGGCCUGGUGGGGGGCCGGGGGGCCGCGAGGCUCGAGGCUGUUGAAACAACACUAACGGCAACGCAGACUUUUAUUCGCUAGAUGAAUAAGAGUAAACAGGUGACAG
This is a long non-coding RNA of Gasterosteus aculeatus aculeatus (three-spined stickleback), 4258 nucleotides long. The record is from Ensembl. Lineage: Eukaryota; Metazoa; Chordata; Actinopteri; Perciformes; Gasterosteidae.